AGCUACACAUGCAAGUCGAGCGGUAGCACAGAGAGCUUGCUCUCGGGUGACGAGCGGCGGACGGGUGAGUAAUGUCUGGGAAACUGCCUGAUGGAGGGGGAUAACUACUGGAAACGGUAGCUAAUACCGCAUAACGUCGCAAGACCAAAGUGGGGGACCUUCGGGCCUCAUGCCAUCAGAUGUGCCCAGAUGGGAUUAGCUAGUAGGUGGGGUAACGGCUCACCUAGGCGACGAUCCCUAGCUGGUCUGAGAGGAUGACCAGCCACACUGGAACUGAGACACGGUCCAGACUCCUACGGGAGGCAGCAGUGGGGAAUAUUGCACAAUGGGCGCAAGCCUGAUGCAGCCAUGCCGCGUGUGUGAAGAAGGCCUUCGGGUUGUAAAGCACUUUCAGCGGGGAGGAAGGCGAUAAGGUUAAUAACCUUAUCGAUUGACGUUACCCGCAGAAGAAGCACCGGCUAACUCCGUGCCAGCAGCCGCGGUAAUACGGAGGGUGCAAGCGUUAAUCGGAAUUACUGGGCGUAAAGCGCACGCAGGCGGUCUGUCAAGUCGGAUGUGAAAUCCCCGGGCUCAACCUGGGAACUGCAUUCGAAACUGGCAGGCUAGAGUCUUGUAGAGGGGGGUAGAAUUCCAGGUGUAGCGGUGAAAUGCGUAGAGAUCUGGAGGAAUACCGGUGGCGAAGGCGGCCCCCUGGACAAAGACUGACGCUCAGGUGCGAAAGCGUGGGGAGCAAACAGGAUUAGAUACCCUGGUAGUCCACGCCGUAAACGAUGUCGAUUUGGAGGUUGUGCCCUUGAGGCGUGGCUUCCGGAGCUAACGCGUUAAAUCGACCGCCUGGGGAGUACGGCCGCAAGGUUAAAACUCAAAUGAAUUGACGGGGGCCCGCACAAGCGGUGGAGCAUGUGGUUUAAUUCGAUGCAACGCGAAGAACCUUACCUGGUCUUGACAUCCACAGAACUUUCCAGAGAUGGAUUGGUGCCUUCGGGAACUGUGAGACAGGUGCUGCAUGGCUGUCGUCAGCUCGUGUUGUGAAAUGUUGGGUUAAGUCCCGCAACGAGCGCAACCCUUAUCCUUUGUUGCCAGCGGUUAGGCCGGGAACUCAAAGGAGACUGCCAGUGAUAAACUGGAGGAAGGUGGGGAUGACGUCAAGUCAUCAUGGCCCUUACGACCAGGGCUACACACGUGCUACAAUGGCAUAUACAAAGAGAAGCGACCUCGCGAGAGCAAGCGGACCUCAUAAAGUAUGUCGUAGUCCGGAUUGGAGUCUGCAACUCGACUCCAUGAAGUCGGAAUCGCUAGUAAUCGUAGAUCAGAAUGCUACGGUGAAUACGUUCCCGGGCCUUGUACACACCGCCCGUCACACCAUGGGAGUGGGUUGCAAAAGAAGUAGGUAGCUUAACCUUCGGGAGGGCGCUACCACUAGAUU
This 1426-nucleotide ribosomal RNA is filed under the name Klebsiella pneumoniae. Its description in RNAcentral is "bacterial SSU rRNA". It matches the Rfam family "Bacterial small subunit ribosomal RNA". The record is from RNAcentral. Lineage: Bacteria; Pseudomonadati; Pseudomonadota; Gammaproteobacteria; Enterobacterales; Enterobacteriaceae.